This 223-nucleotide long non-coding RNA is filed under the name Prunus persica (peach). Its description in RNAcentral is "long non-coding RNA (PPER_LNC008334)". Lineage: Eukaryota; Viridiplantae; Streptophyta; Magnoliopsida; Rosales; Rosaceae. The record is from RNAcentral.
AACUUCUUGGCAAGUUGAACAGAUGGUCAGAAUUCCUCUUGAUCGUCCGAUAGGAAGUGUAUUCUUUGGUGAAGAAGUAAGCUAGCUCCUUGAAACUGCUAAUCGAUCUGGAUGGUAGGGUGUGGAACCAACCCUGGGCUGCUUCUCACAAAGUCAUGACAAACACUUUGCACAUUAGAGCGUCUUUGGCCUUGUAGAGGAUCAUAACACUUUUUAAUUGUUU